AAUAGGUUUGCUAGCUGAUUGUAUAUAUACGCAGGCCAAUGCUUCUAAUUACAUAGCAAGCUCGCUUGCUAUGAAAUAGGCAACCAGUAAUAUAAGCAAGUGUGUGCUAUUUAUAGCGCUAGCCUACAAACCUAUAAUUAUAUUAACUCUAAGAGAAAUUUAAUAAUAAACGAAGUGAAUUGAAAUAUCUUAGUAACUUUAGGAAAAGAAAUCAAAAGAGAUUCUAUGAUUAGCGUGAGCUAAAAUAGACUAGCCUAAAAAGUCAAAUGGUGGAUAAACUGUUUAAAUUAAAUGGGGAACCUUCCUCAAAGGCUAAAUAUAAUAUAUAAGCGAUAGUGGAAAGUACCGUGAGGGAACCAAAACAAAAACAGUGAUUUUAUAAGCAGUUCGGGAAAAUAAAAAAAAAGUUAGAACGUACCUUUUGCAUAAUGGGUCACCAAGUUAACAUUAGAUGCGAGUAGGAGGGAGCUUUAUAAAAAAAAUAUAUUUUUUUUAUAGCCCCGUGUAUACGUAGUUAAACCGAGCGUUAAAAUAACGGUAAGUAUCUAAAGUUAGACCCGAAGCCUGGUGAUUUUACCAUAAUCAGGAUUAUAAAAGUCCGAACGGAAUAUUGUAGCAUAAAUAUCCGAAGAAUUAUGGUAGGUGUAGUGAAAGACAAUACUGACCAGGAUAGCUGGUUUUCUGCGAAACCUAUAACAGUAGGCAAUUUAAGUAUAAUAUCUUAGCAGGUACAGAAUUUAAUCUCAGACAAGACAUAAGGCUUAGCUUGCUAGCAAGUAAAGCUCAUGUUUUAUUUUGUACAAAUUGGGGGAUCAUGAAGAUUUUAUCAGUGAGUAUGUAGACUCGGAAUGGCAAAGAUAUAUCUUAAAUCAUCAGACAUAGAAUGAUAAGGUUGUAUGUCAAAAGGGAAACAGCCCAGAACAAGAGUUAAGGUUCCUAAAUUAUUAGUUGAGUGAAAUUAAGAAGGUUUUUAUUAAAGUCGACAAGGAGAUAGGCUUAGAAGCAGCCAUAAUUUUAUGACCUCGUAACAGAGCGCUUGUUAAGUUUUAAAAGCAUCGAAAAUUUAUCGGAUCUAAACAAUAUACCGAAACCUUGUCCAUAUUAUUUUAUAAUUAAAGCUUAAUUAUAAUUAAAUGGGGUAGCAGAACGUUGAGCUAAAUUAAGAUUUUUAUUUUUUAAAUGAAAUUAUAAUAAUUUAACUCAAGUGAUAAUGGUGACAUGAGUAACUAAAAGAAAAAAUAAAAUUUUUCCGCCUAAAGCUUAUGGAUGUAAUUAAGUAACGGCCUCUAAGUUUAUAUUAUCUAAAGAUUUAAACGAUGAGAUAAUCUUUUGUACUAAGGACGACAUUUUAAGUGGAAAAUGUACUGGAAAAAUAGUACUAAAUUAAUGGCUAUAGCUAAUUAGGGCUAUAUAAAAAAAUAUAUUUUUUUUUAUAUAGCUCGCUAUAGCUAUAAAUGAAAAGUAACCGUACCUAGAAUCUGAAACAAGUAAGCUAGUAGAGAAUACGAAGGCGUAAAUGAGCUAACAAUCAUAAAGGAACUCGGCAAAUUGACUACCGUAACUUCGGGAUAAGGAGAGCUCAUUAUUCUUGAUUAAUAUCAGGUAAAGAGGAAGAAGCAUGAAAUAGUGUUGUACGACUGUUUAAUUAAAACACAGCACUUUGCUGAAAGAUUAAAAAUCUAAGUAUAGAGUGUGAUGUCUGCCCGGUGCCGGCUGGUUAACAGAUAUAAUUAAAUAUACUAAUAUUUGAUGUAGACGGAAACCCCGGUUAAAGGCGGCCUUAACGUGAGGGUCCUAAGGUAGCGAAAUGCCUUGGCCGUUAAAUGCGGUCUUGCAUGAAUGAUGUAACGAUACAACAGCUGUCUCUAUGAUUGACUCAGUGAAAUUGGAAUAGCUGUGCAGAUACAGUUUACCUCUAGUUAGACGAGAAGACCCUAUGCAGCUUUACUGUCACUAAUUAUAGAGUAUGAUAAACAAUUUUCAGAUUAUAAGGUAAUUGACGGCUAGCUUGUUCAGCAAGCUAGCUCUAUGACAAUGAGAAUCCUUUAUUUUUUUUUCAUAUGAAUGAAUUGGUUUAGGAUUAUGAGUAGGUAGCUGCUUCUGCUACUUGGCGCAAGCAUUGCUUGCGUCAGGUGUCUGAAGUAUGCAUUCCAGCUCAUGCAUAGUAAAUCAACCUAAUUCAGCUUAUUUUCCUUUCUGCCAUAAGCGCAUAAUGAUAGAUUUAACUUAAAUUUUGAUUUAUGCCAGCUGCAGAAAUAGAUAAGUACCCUUGGCUAAGGAACUAUCGCUAGGGGACAGUUUAUGUGGGGCACAGACCCUGUAAAGAGUAAACAGGAGUGUCUAAUAAUUUAUAAUUAUUUUGUUUGCGAUUUAAGAUAGUGAAACUAUUUUUAAUCAUAUAAAAUUAUUUAUAUGUACAUUCGUUGUAUAUAUAUUUAAAAAAAGGUAGGAUUUUCACUAUAUAGAAAUUAGAGAUAAUAAAAAUAUUAAGAGUAUACCUUUCAGGUAGCACUAAUAUUUUUUAGCUAUUAAGACAGGCUAUCAAGCUAGGCUCUAAUAGUUAUGUAUUAAUUAUCUAAAAAGCUCAACGGCUAAAUCUUGCCUUACUGUUUGAUUAUCAACAAAUCUUACAGUUGCGUAAGCAGGGCAUAGGAUCACAAGAUGCAACAAGGAAAGAUCUUGGAUUAUUGGAAAAGCUACGCUAGGGAUGUUUGUCCUUUAAUAUUUUAUUACACAGCGGUUUUAGUUAG
RNAcentral lists this ribosomal RNA (2750 nucleotides) under Fusarium sp. Na10. Its description in RNAcentral is "bacterial LSU rRNA". It matches the Rfam family "Bacterial large subunit ribosomal RNA", at positions 1 to 2520 of the family's 2925-position model. Lineage: Eukaryota; Fungi; Ascomycota; Sordariomycetes; Hypocreales; Nectriaceae. The record is from RNAcentral.